GUAAUCGAUUUAGUUGCGCAUCAGCUGCUGGUUGAAAAGCACUCACAUGGACACACAGGAGGAGUUGGAUAAAAAAUAUAUAGGUUGUUCGCCCAGCCACAGAAUCAACAGGCAGAGGCUUGGCUAAUUACACGCCGCGGUGCCAGUUAUUGACAUAUUGAUAUACUGGCUACACAUAACACAUGGCACAUGGCCAAACUAAACCAGAGCCCGCGCUGCUUCUAUGGGCCAACAUAAACGGUUUUGGCCACAUCAACGUCAUCUCUAAUUGGCUGCCAGCUCGUAAGCGGAAUUUGCAAUGCGUGGGCGGGUGUUGGCUGCCACAACAGCCGGAUCUGCCACGUUGCACGUUGCUGCCUGUUAAAUAAUUCAAAAUAAAACAUAAAAUGCUGACGACUUUUGUUGACAGAGAUUUGCAGCCAGGUGAAAGGCCACAGGCAACAAUUGGAGAGGGCGCGGGCGCACAUAUGAAUGUGGCAGCUGACACGGCGUUUAAGAUCUGGAUCAGUCAUGCAAUCGAAUGUGGAUUGUCGAGUGGGCAACUCGUGUCAUGUGCCACAUGUGGGCAACAGCAGUUGAUGAAAGGAUUGGCAGCAGGAAUGGUUGUUGUUGGUACAGUUCGAUGGGUAUUAUGUCAUUAUGUGUUGCAAAAGAGAGAGUGGAAAUUCGCAGGAAAAACUGACGUGGAAAAAUAUAAACCUAAUUUACAAUGCA
Drosophila montana is the source of this 714-nucleotide long non-coding RNA. RefSeq lists it as uncharacterized. The record is from RefSeq and is a predicted model, not a curated record. NCBI's taxonomy places the organism in Eukaryota, Metazoa, Arthropoda, Insecta, Diptera, Drosophilidae. The transcript is spliced from 2 exons.